CGGGAAGUGGCGCAGCCCGGUAGCGCACUUGUAUGGGGUGCAAGGGGUCGCAAGUUCGAAUCUUGUCUUCCCGACCC
Molecule: transfer RNA, 77 nt
Filed under: Sediminibacterium ginsengisoli
Lineage: Bacteria; Pseudomonadati; Bacteroidota; Chitinophagia; Chitinophagales; Chitinophagaceae
Description: tRNA_Pro_GGG
Rfam family: tRNA
About the family: Transfer RNA (tRNA) molecules are approximately 80 nucleotides in length. Their secondary structure includes four short double-helical elements and three loops (D, anti-codon, and T loops).
Source: RNAcentral